ACUCAAAGGAAUUGACGGGGGCCCGCACAAGCGGUGGAGCAUGUGGUUUAAUUCGACGCAACGCGAAGAACCUUACCUGGGCUCGAACGGCUUCUCAACGGUCUGUGAAAGCAGGCUAUCCCGCAAGGGAGUGGAGUCGAGGUGCUGCAUGGCUGUCGUCAGCUCGUGUCGUGAGAUGUUGGGUUAAGUCCCGCAACGAGCGCAACCCUUGUCCCGUGUUGCUAAUCCGUAAGGAUGCACUCUCGGGAGACCGCCAGCGAUAAGUUGGAGGAAGGUGGGGAUGACGUCAAGUCAUCAUGGCCUUUAUGUCCAGGGCUACACACGUGCUACAAUGGGCGGUACAAAGCGCUGCGAAACUGCGAAGUGAAGCUAAUCGCACAAAACCGUCCUCAGUUCGGAUUGCAGGCUGCAACUCGCCUGCAUGAAGCUGGAAUCGCUAGUAAUGGCAGAUCAGCAUGCUGCCGUGAAUACGUUCCCGGGCCUUGUACACACCGCCCGU
RNAcentral lists this ribosomal RNA (499 nucleotides) under uncultured bacterium. Its description in RNAcentral is "partial 16S ribosomal RNA". It matches the Rfam family "Bacterial small subunit ribosomal RNA", at positions 899 to 1397 of the family's 1533-position model. The record is from RNAcentral.